RNAcentral lists this ribosomal RNA (493 nucleotides) under uncultured bacterium. RNAcentral describes it as "partial 16S ribosomal RNA". It matches the Rfam family "Bacterial small subunit ribosomal RNA", at positions 27 to 507 of the family's 1533-position model. The record is from RNAcentral.
GAGUGAACGCUGGCGGUAGGCCUAACACAUGCAAGUCGAACGGCAGCACAGUAAGAGCUUGCUCUUACGGGUGGCGAGUGGCGGACGGGUGAGGAAUACAUCGGAAUCUACUUUUUCGUGGGGGAUAACGUAGGGAAACUUACGCUAAUACCGCAUACGACCUACGGGUGAAAGCAGGGGAUCUUCGGACCUUGCGCGAUUGAAUGAGCCGAUGUCGGAUUAGCUAGUUGGCGGGGUAAAGGCCCACCAAGGCGACGAUCCGUAGCUGGUCUGAGGGGAUGAUCAGCCACACUGGAACUGAGACACGGUCCAGACUCCUACGGGAGGCAGCAGUGGGGAAUAUUGGACAAUGGGCGCAAGCCUGAUCCAGCCAUACCGCGUGGGUGAAGAAGGCCUUCGGGUUGUAAAGCCCUUUUGUUGGGAAAGAAAAGCAGCAGGUUAAUACCCCGCUGUUCUGACGGUACCCAAAGAAUAAGCACCGGCUAACUUCGUG